RNAcentral lists this non-coding RNA (54 nucleotides) under Florenciella parvula. Lineage: Eukaryota; Dictyochophyceae; Florenciellales. The record is from RNAcentral.
UAACAGAGCCGGGAUCGUUCCCGCUCUCGAUCGCGGGGAGGAUGUCGGAGGGAG